RNAcentral lists this ribosomal RNA (497 nucleotides) under uncultured bacterium. Its description in RNAcentral is "partial 16S ribosomal RNA". It matches the Rfam family "Bacterial small subunit ribosomal RNA", at positions 28 to 507 of the family's 1533-position model. The record is from RNAcentral.
GAUGAACGCUGGCGGCGUGCCUAAUACAUGCAAGUCGGGCGAACGGACGAGAAGCUUGCUUCUCUGAUGUUAGCGGCGGACGGGUGAGUAACACGUGGAUAACCUACCUAUAAGACUGGGAUAACUUCGGGAAACCGGAGCUAAUACCGGAUAAUAUUUUGAACCGCAUGGUUCAAAAGUGAAAGACGGUCUUGCUGUCAUUUAUAGAUGGAUCCGCGCUGCAUUAGCUAGUUGGUAAGGUAACGGCUUACCAAGGCAACGAUGCAUAGCCGACCUGAGAGGGUGAUCGGCCACACUGGAACUGAGACACGGUCCAGACUCCUACGGGAGGCAGCAGUAGGGAAUCUUCCGCAAAGGGCGAAAGCCUGACGGAGCAACGCCGCGUGAGUGAUGAAGGUCUUCGGAUCGUAAAACUCUGUUAUUAGGGAAGAACAUAUGUGUAAGUAACUGUGCACAUCUUGACGGUACCUAAUCAGAAAGCCACGGCUAACUACGUG